AUAUUUUUCCAUGGAUAAUGAAAUUCCUUCCUGGACCUCACCAACCACUCUUUAGAAACUGGGAAAAACUGAAAAUUGUUUGUUAUUCAUAUGAUUGAAGAACACAGGAGAGAUUGGAAUCCUGCUUACAAAUAAGAGACUUUAUUGAUGCUUAUCUCAAGGAAAUGGCAAAGGGACAACUUAUGCAGUGCUACACUAGGCUCUAUUAUACCUGGCCAUCAACCCAGAAAUCUAAGAUGAGAAUGGUUCAUGUUGUGCUUGAAACAGGACAGACUGC
RNAcentral lists this long non-coding RNA (277 nucleotides) under Dasypus novemcinctus (nine-banded armadillo). Its description in RNAcentral is "lncRNA (ENSDNOG00000052319.1)". Lineage: Eukaryota; Metazoa; Chordata; Mammalia; Cingulata; Dasypodidae. The record is from RNAcentral.